Brassica napus (rape) is the source of this 2548-nucleotide RNA transcript. It is a transcript of the gene named putative esterase YitV, with no coding region annotated. The record is from RefSeq and is a predicted model, not a curated record. The transcript has 4 exons. NCBI's taxonomy places the organism in Eukaryota, Viridiplantae, Streptophyta, Magnoliopsida, Brassicales, Brassicaceae.
AUGAUCGGGAGGGACAUCAUUGUGGAACACUCGGGUUGGGCUGUGGGAAAUGGAACUAGUAUCAACAUUUGGGACAAGCCAUGGCUCAGUCUCUCUGCGCAGGAAAGACCAAUGGGACCAGCUCCGGAAGCGGUGGUAAAUUGCACGGUCGCGGACCUGUUUACUCAAGAUAAGAAGGCUUGGGAUGUAGAAAAGAUCAGACAGAUACUACCGCUCGAUGAGCAGCGUAUACUCUCGAUCAAGCCUAGUUUUGAAGGAGCCCCAUAUAAGCUAAUCUGGCUAAAUGAUGCCUCUGGGGAAUACACUACAAGAUCAAGAUACGCUGCGGCUCUCCUGCAGCAAAAAGACUUCCCUACAACCCUUCAAACUACACCGUCCUUCAACUGGCAAAAGAACAUAUGGAAACUUAAACUUACCCCAAAAGUUAAACUCUUCCUAUGGAAGUUGUUCCAUGGCGCUUUACCUGUAGGAACUCAACUUAGAGCAAGACAAAUCAAUGUGGAAGGAAUAUGUAAAACCUGUGGUUUACCUGAAUCUAUAAAUCAUCUGUUUCUCGAAUGUGGUUUUGCUCAACAGGUUUGGAGCCAAGCACCUGUCUCCCCGGGCAUCGAGAGUAGCGGAUCCAUAGACUUAAGGACAACCUGGGGCGGUCUGAUUUCAGGGAAGAAUCUUCCCCCAAUGGGUGUAACGUCGGGACCCCUGGCGCCAUGGAUCCUCUGGCAACUAUGGACAACGAGGAACAAGCUUGUGUUGGAAGAUAAACGAUGCUCCGCGGAGGAAGUUCUAACGAGGGCGAUAGCUACAGCUAAGGAGUGGACUCAAAGUCAGCAAAGCCUACCGGAUCAGCGUCUACGUUCUCCACCUCCCCUGCUUCUACAGGAUUCAGGAGCUAUUAUCAGAACAGAUGCGGCUUGGAAUGAGGAUCAACAGCUAGCGGGUUUGGGCUGGACGGUACAAGAGCCAAAUGGAACCUUCUCUUACGCGAUCCCAUCAACGUUCGUCCGAUCCACUCUCCUAGCAGAGGGACUUGCUAUGCGAGAAGCGAUAAUCAAAUGCAGAGAUCUCGGUCUCUCACGUGUGCGAUGCGAUUCGGACUCUGCCACCCUAAUCAAGGUCCUCAAUGAAGAAGUCUCAAAUGCAGAACUGUAUGGAGUGGCUGCAGACAUCAUCUCUCUAUCUUUUACUUUCAAAAAUAUUUCUUUUAAUUGGAUUCCCCGUGAUAGGAACCUUGUAGCUGAUAGAUUAGCAAAACAGGCUCUGUCUGAUGUGCUAGCCUUUAAUGUCCCAACAAACUUUGGUUGAGAAAUUUAAUGAAGUUUGGGUGUUUCAAAAAAAAAAAAGACAUGUAGCUAAAAUAUACCUCUGUUAGUUCUCUUCUGAAAUUUGAUCAAGGUUUCUAUGGAAGCACUGACUUUGCAUCUUUACAACACUUGAAGUUCCUAUAACCUACCAAAAACCAAUUUUCUCACUCAAUAUCUGAAACAUUAAAAUUAUAUAGAAAAAGUGUCAAAAUUCGUUACUGUUAUUGUACCACGUAUACGUCUGCUUUCUAUCUUUCUUCUCAUUUUCUGCCGUAUCUUACCGUGAUGUUUCUUUGCACUGGUAGAAUCUCCAUCAAAUUGGAUCCACCAUAUCUAUUGUUUCUCGAACCUUCUUCACCCGGUUCUGAUGAAGCAAAAAUUGGAUGACGGACUUUGAUAGUGUAGCUAAGGAAUUUGAGUUUUUUGAGAUCCGUUCACUCAGAAAAUGGAACUCAGUACUGGCCAUGACAUUCCGUAAGGCUCCAAUUUUGAAUUAGGGUAUUGGAAUUCAAGAAGAAAGAGUAUAAACCUAUCGUAUUCUAUUUUCGAUCCAUUGGAAGUUUGGAUGCUGUUCAUCUGCUAAUGCCGAAUGUGAAAGAUAUAGGAAUAAGAAAAUGAAAAGAUUCCAGAAGAAGAAGGAGAAUCAUGGUAGUGUAGUAGUGGGUUGUUUUGAUAAACAGUCGAUAAUUUUUAGAAAUAAUGACGUAGCACAAUAUAAUUGGUAAGGUGACUUGUACUUUAGUAUAUAAAGGAUUUGCAUGUUGGUCAGGGAUUUAGAUGGGCGAUAGACAAUGAUGCCUGGCAAGCAAGAGUCGACAGUUUAAAACCUGUAUUUGAAGGUCACAUUCUGAAUAAACUUAGAUAUGAAUUAAGGUUAUUAAGUAUAAGGAUUUCAAUUCUCAUAAUUUUAUUUUAUGGUUUCAGAAGCAAGGAUUGACAUGGGAAAGAACGAAAUCGACAAAGAAGUGGUCGAGAAGGUGUGGGACAGAAUAGCUCCUGGCAUAGCCUCUCAGUUUGAUGCGCCUUACUCGGUACCAGUGAUUGCACCACGCCCUCUUUACCUCCUUAACGGCGCUGAGGAUCCUCGCUGUCCUCUUGGUGGACUAGUUGUUCCAGUGAAGAGAGCUAAGAAGGCUUAUAAGAAAACUCCUGCAAACUUCAAGUUCGUAGCAGAAGAGGGAGUUGGACACACAGUGACGAGUUUCAUGAUCAAAGAAUCAUCAGAUUGGUUUGAAAAGUUCCUUAAA